UGGGGAAUCUUGGACAAUGGGGGGCAACCCUGAUCCAGCCAUGCCGCGUGAGUGAUGAAGGCCUUAGGGUCGUAAAGCUCUUUCGCCUGUGAAGAUAAUGACGGUAGCAGGUAAAGAAACCCCGGCUAACUCCGUGCCAGCAGCCGCGGUAAUACGGAGGGGGUUAGCGUUGUUCGGAAUUACUGGGCGUAAAGCGCACGUAGGCGGACCAGAAAGUUGGGGGUGAAAUCCCGGGGGCUCAACCCCGGAACUGCCUCCAAAACUAUUGGUCUAGAGUUCGAGAGAGGUGAGUGGAAUUCCAAGUGUAGAGGUGAAAUUCGUAGAUAUUUGGAGGAACACCAGUGGCGAAGGCGGCUCACUGGCUCGAUACUGACGCUGAGGUGCGAAAGUGUGGGGAGCAAACAGGAUUAGAUACCCUGGUAGUCCACACCGUAAAACGAUGAAUGCCAGUCGUCGGGUAGCAUGCUAUUCGGUGACACACCUAACGGAUUAAGCAUUCC
This 500-nucleotide ribosomal RNA is filed under the name uncultured bacterium. RNAcentral's name for it is "bacterial SSU rRNA". It matches the Rfam family "Bacterial small subunit ribosomal RNA", at positions 355 to 870 of the family's 1533-position model. The record is from RNAcentral.